GUCCCUGUAGCUUAUAAGCUAAAGCAUGGCACUGAAGAUGCCAAGAUGGUUGCUCACACAAACACCCGGGGACA
This 74-nucleotide transfer RNA is filed under the name Trogon melanurus (black-tailed trogon). It matches the Rfam family "tRNA". Rfam says of the family: Transfer RNA (tRNA) molecules are approximately 80 nucleotides in length. The record is from Rfam by way of RNAcentral. Lineage: Eukaryota; Metazoa; Chordata; Aves; Trogoniformes; Trogonidae. RNAcentral also lists the same sequence under 2 other names.